ACUGAAACACAUAGACAGUUGCUGGACACAGUUGGUGAACUCUGGAAAGAGGGGGAGUCUGCAGUUUUCCUCUAGCAGUCAGGAAAGCCUAGAGAGUUUCUGUUUUGUAUUUCUGGGGUAGAACUGGAGAGCCAGUGAUUCCCUCUUCUUUGGCUUUCUUGAUAUGCUGCCUGUCCUUGCUGCUGCUGCUGUUACAGAGAAGUGGAUUUCAAUAGUGCUGGUGACUUACUACUGGGAUUACUGCUUGAAUCAAAGAGGACUCCUGUGUUUUAAAUGACCUAGUAAAUGUAUCUGGAGUUGGGAAGACUAGUCUUAUAUUCAAAACCAGCCUCAGACCUACUAGCUAUAUGACCCUGGGCUGGGACACUUCUGACCUCCCACUGAAGGGUAAUAUGCCAUGUAAGUGUUUAAUAUUCUGCAAAGUGCUGAGUCAGAGAUGUGAUGAAACCAUCUCAAACCAUAAAGUUGAUCAUUAAAUUUUCAGUGUGAGUUUA
Molecule: long non-coding RNA, 494 nt
Filed under: Monodelphis domestica (gray short-tailed opossum)
Lineage: Eukaryota; Metazoa; Chordata; Mammalia; Didelphimorphia; Didelphidae
Description: lncRNA (ENSMODG00000037883.1)
Source: RNAcentral